Molecule: ribosomal RNA, 497 nt
Filed under: uncultured bacterium
Lineage: Bacteria
Description: partial 16S ribosomal RNA
Rfam family: Bacterial small subunit ribosomal RNA
Source: RNAcentral
GAUGAACGCUGGCGGUGUGCCUAAUACAUGCAAGUCGAGCGAACAGACGAGGAGCUUACUCCUCUGACGUUAGCGGCGGACGGGUGAGUAACGCGUGGAUAACCUACCUAUAAGACUGGGAUAACUUCGGGAAACCGGAGCUAAUACCGGAUAACAUGUUGAACCGCAUGGUUCAACAGUGAAAGACGGUCUUGCUGUAACCUAUAGAUGGAUCCGCGUCUCAUUAGAAAGUUGGUAAGGUGACGGCUUACCAAGGGAACGAUGCGUACCCGACCUGGGAGGGUGAUCGGCCACACGGGAACUGAGACACGGUCCAGACUCCUACGGGAGGCACCAGUGGGGAAUCUACCGCAAUGGGCAAAAGCCGAACGGAGCAACGCCGCGUGAGUGAAAAAGGUCUUCGGAUCGAAAAACUCUGUUAUAAGGAAAGAACAAAUGUGUAAUUAACUAUGCACGACGUGACGGUACCUAAUCAGAAAGCCACGGCUAACUACGUG